UGUAUAAAUAAACAUACAGGCCCUAGGUAUAUGACUAAUAUACAAUCGAUGCUUCUGAUUGCGCCGCACUGUGGUGAUUCAGGUGGCCAAAAAUCGAUCGUCCGUCACAUCACAAAAUGCUUCUUGUGCUCGUUGUUCUAGCAUCGCGAUCCUGACAAUCGUGAAGUCUGUGGUUCGAGGUCGGAUGGCCGCAAAAUACUUCUUUUAACAUGACGUGUUGCUAUGGUAAAAUUGAGAAUUUUACCCGACAAGGAUUCCAUGACCAACGUUUUUGUGUGAAUAUGUGAAAUAGCAUAUGCCCGAAAUCAGUUAUCGUCUACCCCUGUUGGUUUGACCUCAUCUAAACUGAACACUUUUUAAUUUGACCCCCUCUAAUCUGCACAUCGUUCAAACUAAAAAUGGUACGUUGUGUUUCAAUAAAAGUGAUCCAUAAUCUGCGAAAUUAGUAUUGCGUAAACUUUUGAUAUUGGUCUCACAAAGAAGUGAAACAAGUACAAAAAUGACCACGUUUUCGUAUUGAGUCACCCCAUAGUGAUAGCCCAGUCGUUGAUUAUUUUUACGAGAUUAUUCCCGGUAUCCAGGCAGUAGUUGUAUUGCUUGACACGAACCGCCCUGUCCGCCCGCUGGCUGGAGCAGGUACUUACUGGAGGGUUAUGAACGAGCAGCUUAAAUGCAGAGAAACUGAUCGACUUUGCACUUUGGGGCGAUAUCUUCAUGCUUGACUCAAGUUUUAACAGAUAAGCUUUUAAAAGACUUCCUGGGCCGUUGCUAGUCUAUUCAUUCAUCAUGCUUUAAUUUGGCCAUAUAAUGAAGAACGAAUCCCUGCCGAACUGAGUAGGCUUGUAACAAAUUGUUAAGGUACACAAGCGUUCCUUAUGCAUAGUUACUCAUUGUACUACUGCCUAUAAUCGCAUAUCAGACCCAUCUUUAAAAGCAAUACGACUACAGGCAGCGUAGUCGUAGCUAGCUAUAGUAGUUCACAGUUUUUCUUAUCACACCGUAUUUAUUUUACUUACACUACACGUCAUUAGUGAGGACUCGCAUAGAAAAAUUAUUGCAAAAAUAGCUAAUCAUUGAAAAGUGUUCAGAAUUGGCUCAGUAGGUGGUGUAAGAGUUGCUGCAAAGAUUACAUAUUGUCGGAGAUUCGUUCACCGAGAAAUAUCAACAAUAAAGAGAUAUACUCGUUAACGGUGAUUAAAUCCAACAAGUGAAGGAGUUUGUGAGAACAAAUUCAAAUGCGACGUUAAUUGGUUUUCCUGAUAUUUUAAGGUUAUUAUAGAACGAAGCCACACCUUGAAUUGUCAAAAGCACAAAUCUAAAGAACUAAAUAACGGAUCGCCCAGAAAAGUUGAUCGAUUGAUUACCAUCAGCAGAAUCUGAAUCUGGAUGGAUGAGGAUCCUUCCACUAGUGGCGCUACUGCUCCAUUGCUUUGACGUUUGCUAGUGUACACGUUGCUGAAUGAUGAAAAGAAAAAUACAGGCGAUUUGGGUGGUAGUGUGCGUGUUAGGAAGCCGUCAAAUCGCAAUACAUCAUGGCCGACAGUUUUUCGCGCGUUUCUAUCAAUAGGUGGCAGCGUGGAUAUAAAAGACAUCGACAAAUUUUUCAAUGAACUUCCUCUAAGGCCUUCAAAUAUUUGACAAGCCGUAAACCAAAGAUCAAACAUCUGUUUGACACUAAUGAAAAUUCGAUCGAAUCAAACAAGAUGCAUUCACUUCAUUUAAGGCGAAUCCACACUUAUCGUGGGUAGUGUGCCUGCAGGCUGCAGCAAAACACUUCAACAACAAAACGGUACCAACGAAUGUCGGGGUAGCUCUCGAUGACUAAUCGAGGUGUGCAUCACAGCCGAACCAAUUGCAUCAUCUUGUUGAAACUGGACGGAUUUUGCGCGCAGCUGACUGGCGCAUUCAAGCCAUUUAGCAAACAACACUUCAGCACAUGUUAUCAUAGAAGAAAUUCAUAUAUGUAGAUUGUCACACUCCGCUGUUCGACGAUAAAGAAAAACGCAACUUAAGCCUAAGCAAUUUCCUGGAAGUUGAACUGGAUUACUGAGAUUGCAACCUCGCUGGUCGUCGCGCCAGAUCUAACCUGAUAAUUUGUCCAAAUAAAGUCGGGGGACCAUCAUCGAUGCCCCUUCAAUUUCGGAAAAGUUGCAUUAUAAUUUCUGCAUAGGCCGUAUAGGCCUAACAUUUGAACACUCGACUUCUCACGAUGCUGUUCUUCAGCGUUGUUAUCAUUGUUAAAUACCAUAAAGAUGUGUUAAGUCGAGUUAUUGAAAUCUGUUGGGCUACCUAAAGACAAACUUGUCUGUGUAUAGACUUUUACAAUCUUAUCAUUCCAUUGUCUAUCUGUUUCAGUAAAUAUUGGCAGAUGACGUGGAUGAACCGCAAAAGUUAGACAGAACUCGAAACUGAUUGGUGCCGUAAGCCGAAAUGCGCAUAGAUAAGAACGCAAAUAGUUUGACGACCGGACGUCAGGUGAUUGAAUGGUGGAAGCAGUACUUUGAUGAGCACCUGAACGGCGCCGAAACGCAUGAUAUCGAUAGUAUCGCAGCUGAAUUCAUCAAGAUGAGACCACAAGAGUCGGCCACCUGCCUACAUCGGGUGAUAGUCGGGAUCUGGGAAUGUCGAGCGUACCAGGUGGGAUGGUUAGAACACAAGUUUUUUUAUGCUUUCAGAAACUGAGAAUGAAAUUAAGUAUACUUUUUAAGUGUUGCAACGUGUAAAUGAAUAAUACGGCCUCAAUUACCUGAUACCUUGAUACCUUGUUGGCUAAAAAGUAACUUUACUCCAACGCCGAGCGUAUAGUAGAGCACCAUCUUCGUCGGUCUUGGGCGAUGUUCCUCCAGUUUCCCCGGACGUGUAGGGAUCGUAGAUCUUCUUCAACCGCGUGCAGCCAGCGAGCUCGCGGCCGCCCACGAAGUCGCCUACCUCUACCGGGUUCUCUGCUGAUAUUGUUUUCGCUAUUCUUUCUUCCGACAUUCGCACUACGUGUCCAGCCCACUGAAGUCUGCCGUAUUUUAUACGGCAGUGUACGGUCUUCGUACACUUGGUACAACUCGUGAUUCAUGCGUCUGCGCCACACUCCAUUUUCUUGUUUCCCACCGAGAAUUGUCCGCAGCACUUUGCGCUCAAAAACUCCAAAAGCUUUUCGGUCGGUCGACCUCUUUUAACGUCAACGCUUCGUGACCGUAUAGGGCAACCAGAAGAAUCAGCGUCUUACACAGAGCAAAUGUUGUUUGCGUUUGCAAGUUACGGGACCUAAGCUGGCUACGCAAUCCGUAAAAGGCCCUAUUCGCAGCUACAAUAUACGCCUUUCCACUUCACGGGAAACGUCAUUGUCACAUGUCACAAGUGUUUCAAGAUAAACAAAUUCUUCAACAACUUCAAACACUUCCCCAUCAAUCACUACUUACCUUACCGAUCAGGCUAAGGCCGGGGUGGCCUCUGCUGUACAUAGCUGCCGUGAAUCGCAUAUCAGUCCUAUCUUUGCUGGAUUUCCUAUGCAAAUGGGACAGAUAUGCGAUUCACGGCAGAUAGUAGCCGCCUCCAUUCCACUCGGUCCAUGGCUGUUUGUCUCCAGUUCCGCACUCUGCGUAGGGUCCGCAGAUCGUCCUCCACUUGGUCGACCCACCUAGCUCGCUGCGCUCCACGUCUUCUUGUACCCGUCGGAUGACUCUCGAGAACCAUUUUAGUCGGGUUGCUAUCCGACAUCCUGAUGACGUGACCCGCCCACCGUAGCCUCCCGAUUUUCGCAGUGUGGACGUUGGUUGGUUCUCUCAACAGCUGAUGCAGCUCGUGGUUCAUUCGCCUUCUCCAAGUCCCGUCUUCCAUCUGCAUUCCGCCGUAGAUGGUACGCAACACCUUCCGUUCGAAAACUCAAAGGGCGCGUUGGUCCUCUGCACGUAGGGUCCAUGUUUCGUGCCCAUAGAGGACGACCGGUGUAAUCAACGUUUUGUAGAUGGUUAACUUCGUGUUACGGCGAACUUUAUUCGAUCGUAGAGUUCUGCGGAGUCCAAAGUAAGCACGAUUUUCUGCCACAAUGCGCCUCUGAAUUUCUCUGCUGGUGUCGUUGUCGGCGGUCACCAGUGAGCCUAAGUACAAGAAUUCUUCAACCGCCUCGAUUUCAUCACCGUCGAUAUAAAUUCGGGGUGGCGGGCGCGCUGAUUCCUCCCUGGAGCCCUUUGCCAUCAUGUACUUUGUCUUCGACACAUUUAUGACUAAUCCGAUUCGCCUGGCUUCACUCUUUAGUCGGAUGGACGUUUCCGCCAUCGUCUCAAAUUUACGAGCAAUAAUAUCAAUAUCAUCGGCGAAACCAAGCAGCUGAACGGACUUCGUGAAAAUCGUACCACUCGUGUUAAUCCCCGCUCUCCUUACAGCGGUCGUUCGCUCGUUGCAAACCCGCUCGUUGCAACGCUUUUUAGUUGCAAGUCCGCUAAUUGCAAAAUUUGACAAGUUUUUGCAAUUAAAAAGCAAUCAAGUGUCAAAUUUGUGCUGUCAGUCAUGCUGUCAGUGCAUUUCGAUGCACUUUAGUGUCAAAGUGACGUUGCAAUUAGCGAAUGCCAUUCGCUCGUUGCAAUGUAAACAUGUUGCAACGAGCGAACGGCCACUGUAUUACACCCUCUAACGCAAUGUUGAACAGCAAGCACGAAAGACCAUCGCCUUGCCGUAACCCUCUGUGAGAUUCGAAGGGACUCGAGAGUGUCCCUGAUACUCGAACUACGCACAUCACUCGAUCCAUCGUCGCCUUGAUCAACCGUGUCAGUUUAUCCGGGAAUCCGUAUUCGUGCAUAAUCUGUCAUAGCUGUUCUCGAUCGAUUGUAUCAUACGCCGAUUUGAAAUCGAUGAACAAGUGAUGUGUGGGCACGUCAAUCACUACCUCAGCACUAAAACCACUAGGCCUGCUUCUGUCUCUACCCGCUAUAAUGUACUUCGUCUUGGUAGAGUUAAUCGUCAAGCUUAUCUUCAGAGGAGCAUAAGCUUCCUCCACUGCCCUACGAUCGAUGCCGAUGAGAUCAAUAUCGUCCGCAAAACCGAGGAGCAUGUGCGACCGUGUGAUGAUAGAGCCAUUCCUCUGCACGCCUGACCUACUAAUCGCUCCUUCGAGUGCAAUGUUGAACAAUAAAUUUGAAAGAGCGUCCCCCUGCUUCAAUCCAUCCAAGGUCGCAAACGACGUAGACACUUCGUCCGCGAUCCGAAUACUUGAUUUUGAUCCAUCCAGAGUUGCGCAUAUCAGCCUAAUUAGUUUCGCCGGUAAACCAUGUUCUGACAUUACAGCGGCCGUUCGCUCGUUGCAACAUAUUUACUAGUGUGGGUCAUCGGAACCGUUUUCUCAGAUCAAACCUUUUUUGGUUCCGUUUCGAGUCCUGAGUAUCUGUGCAAAAUUUGAGCACGAUCGGUUGCGUCUACACUUUGCGCAUUGCAAUUGAAAUUUGUAUGGGAUUUUGUAUGGAGGAAUUCCACGGAGUCAUGUCAGUCGAUCCUGAGCGACCAUUUCAAAAAUAUCUGAAACUUUGCACAGUUUUUUAAUUUCAUAUAAAUCGCCAUUUUUUGAUAUUAAACCUUCAUAUUCACUCACGACUAACUUUUCAAAAGGGUGUAUGCGAAAAUAGUUCUAAAAUAUUCUAAAAGCUGUACAGCAAAAACGGAUUGUUCGAUUGUUAUAAAUUUUUCAGCAAAGUUAGAUAACUAAAUGAUGAUUCCUUAGAAAAUAUACACUGUAAAAAAUUUCUUUUUCUACUUUGAAAAAAAUAUGAUCUUUGUCACAAAAACUCAAAUAUCUCAAAACCCUAUCUUUUUACCAACUUCAAUUUUUUAGGGGAAAUGGCCCAUUAUAUCAGCUAUCUACCAUAAAAUUUUGGUGAUGGUAAACUGAUAAACAAAAAAGUUAUGACAUUUCAAACAUUUCACAAUUUUUACAUUUAGUAACAAAAAAAAAUUUUUUUCUGUGUAAAUUAUUUCGAGAAUUAUAUUUUGAUGCUGAUUUUAUUGUAAAGGCUACCGCCUGAAUUAAACAAGUUGUUUUCAUGAUACUUUAGUUUGAUUAUUCGUAAUUACUAUAGUAUUUAUUUGAAACUUAGACGCGAUCCAGUGUUGUGAUCAAAAAUAUUGAGAUUGUCAUACUUUUUAUUGUACGUGACUGGUGAAAAAAUCCCUUGAUAGUGUUGAAAAGCUGUUGAUUAUAAGAAAAAUGGAAUUGAAUUUAUUUUUAAGACAAAAGCUGUAUAAUAAAAGUUUUAUAUACGCGUAUACGUCUAGUUUAUCCGCAAAAUAAAUCCCUCUUACACACUUAUUUCUGAAUUGCCUGUUCGGUACUUUUUUGACGAGAUUAUAACAGCAGUACGA
This is a long non-coding RNA of Aedes albopictus (Asian tiger mosquito), 6342 nucleotides long. RefSeq lists it as uncharacterized. The transcript is spliced from 2 exons. NCBI's taxonomy places the organism in Eukaryota, Metazoa, Arthropoda, Insecta, Diptera, Culicidae. The record is from RefSeq and is a predicted model, not a curated record.